RNAcentral lists this ribosomal RNA (253 nucleotides) under uncultured bacterium. RNAcentral describes it as "partial 16S ribosomal RNA". It matches the Rfam family "Bacterial small subunit ribosomal RNA", at positions 524 to 776 of the family's 1533-position model. The record is from RNAcentral.
UACGAAGGGGGCGAGCGUUGUUCGGAUUUACUGGGCGUAAAGGGCGCGCAGGCGGCGGACCAAGUCAGGCGUGAAAGCCCCGGGCUUAACCUGGGAACUGCGUCUGGGACUGGUUUGCUAGAGAUCGGGAGAGGAGAGUGGAAUUCCCAGUGUAGAGGUGAAAUUCGUAGAUAUCAGGAGGAACACCGGUGGCGAAAGCGGCGACCUGGCCCGAUACUGACGCUCAUGGACGAAAGCGUGGGGAGCAAACAGG